AUCUUUUGGUUCGUGAGUGUGAUGAUUGGGCAUUCAUGCCUUAUACAUGAGCUGUGCCUCCCUCAAACCUUGUUAUGACAUGGGCUCGUCACCUGUUCGAUG
This is a small nucleolar RNA of Octodon degus (degu), 102 nucleotides long. RefSeq annotates it as small nucleolar RNA U13. The transcript has a single exon. The record is from RefSeq and is a predicted model, not a curated record. NCBI's taxonomy places the organism in Eukaryota, Metazoa, Chordata, Mammalia, Rodentia, Octodontidae.